CAGUAGCCGCGGUAAUACGGAGGGUGCGAGCGUUAAUCGGAAUAACUGGGCGUAAAGGGCACGCAGGCGGUGACUUAAGUGAGGUGUGAAAGCCCCGGGCUUAACCUGGGAAUUGCAUUUCAUACUGGGUCGCUAGAGUACUUUAGGGAGGGGUAGAAUUCCACGUGUAGCGAUGAAAUGCGUAGAGAUGUGGAGGAAUACCGAAGGCGAAGGCAGCCCCUUGGGAAUGUACUGACGCUCAUGUGCGAAAGCGUGAGGAGCAAACAGGAUUAGAUACCCCAGUAGUCCCUGUCUCUUAUAA
RNAcentral lists this ribosomal RNA (301 nucleotides) under uncultured bacterium. RNAcentral describes it as "partial 16S ribosomal RNA". It matches the Rfam family "Bacterial small subunit ribosomal RNA", at positions 509 to 809 of the family's 1533-position model. The record is from RNAcentral.